GUGACAAAGAGGAUGAACAAGAAGAUGAACAAGAAGAUGAGGUUUGUUUGAAAGCCUCCAAGAAAAAUAAGUGGUACUUGGAUAGUGGUUGCUCAAGACACAUGACGGGUAAUCCAUCCAAGUUUGUCAAUCUUUCCAAGAAGGAUGGUGGCUUAGUAACCUUUGGUGAUAACAAGAAGGGUAAAAUAAUUGGUAAGGGUACUAUAGGUAAUGACUCUUGUACUCUCAUUGAAAAUGUAUUGUUAGUUGAUGGUUUAAAGCAUGACUUACUUAGCAUUAGUCAAUUAUGUGAUAAAGGUUUUAGAGUUGUAUUUGAUAAGAAUAAUUGCAUAAUUGAAAAUGCUAGUGAUAGAAAAGUUUUGUUUGUAGGAAA
Long non-coding RNA from Cucurbita moschata (crookneck pumpkin), 373 nucleotides. RefSeq lists it as uncharacterized. The transcript has 2 exons. The record is from RefSeq and is a predicted model, not a curated record. NCBI's taxonomy places the organism in Eukaryota, Viridiplantae, Streptophyta, Magnoliopsida, Cucurbitales, Cucurbitaceae.